GUAACAAGGUUUCUGUAGGUGAACCUGCAGAAGGAUCAUUAGUGAAAGUUUCGGGCCUGCCAUACGGACGCAAACACGUCUCUGGCGCCCAUCACUAUAUCCAUACCAACCCCUGUGCACUGUGAUGACGAAUGUCAUCGAACAAAAAAAAACUCGUAUGGUUGAAUGUACGUGAAAUUGUAGGUAUAGCCUACGAACUAUACACAACUUUCGACAACGGAUCUCUUGGUUCUCCCAUCGAUGAAGAACGCAGCGAAACGCGAUAGGUAAUGUGAAUUGCAGAAUUCCGUGAAUCAUCGAAUCUUUGAACGCACCUUGCGCUCCAUGGUAUUCCGUGGAGCAUGCCUGUUUGAGUGCCGCGAAUUCUCCCUCCCCUUACGGUGGCCGAAAGGCCGAAGUAGGGCGGACGGGGUAGGAUGGGUGUUUGCUGCCUGGGGAUUGUACCAGGCUCGCCCGAAAUGCAUAAGCGCCAGGACCCUCGCUACCGCUCUCUAGGGAAGAGUGGCUAAGCGACCGCUGAGCAUGGCAUGAUACGUCAUUUGCUGUGUGUGGGCGGCCGGUUGGAGAGGUGUCUGCUUUACCAGCCCUAUUUUAAUUCUGGUCUCAAAUCAGGUAGGAUCACCCGCUGAACCUAAGCAUAU
This 641-nucleotide unclassified non-coding RNA is filed under the name Malassezia sympodialis. RNAcentral's name for it is "sequence contains 18S rRNA gene, ITS1, 5.8S rRNA gene, ITS2, 28S rRNA gene". The stretch from base 206 to 359 matches the Rfam family "5.8S ribosomal RNA". The record is from RNAcentral. Lineage: Eukaryota; Fungi; Basidiomycota; Malasseziomycetes; Malasseziales; Malasseziaceae.